This 440-nucleotide ribosomal RNA is filed under the name uncultured bacterium. Its description in RNAcentral is "partial 16S ribosomal RNA". It matches the Rfam family "Bacterial small subunit ribosomal RNA", at positions 338 to 795 of the family's 1533-position model. The record is from RNAcentral.
CCUACGGGGGGCAGCAGUAGGGAAUAUUGCUCAAUGGGGGAAACCCUGAAGCAGCAACGCCGCGUGGAGGAUGAAGGUUUUCGGAUUGUAAACUCCUUUUGUUAGAGAAGAUAAUGACGGUAUCUAACGAAUAAGCACCGGCUAACUCCGGUCCAGCAGCCGCGGUAAUACGGAGGGUGCAAGCGUUACUCGGAAUCACUGGGCGUAAAGAGAGCGUAGGCGGGAUAUCAAGUCAGGUGUGAAAUCCUAUGGCGUAACCAUAGAACUGCAUUUGAAACUGGUAUUCUAGAGUAUGGGAGAGGUAGGUGGAAUUCUUGGUGUAGGGGUAAAAUCCGUAGAGAUCAAGAGGAAUACUCAUUGCGAAGGCGACCUGCUAGAACAUAACUGACGCUGAUGCGCGAAAGCGUGGGGAGCAAACAGGAUUAGAUACCCCAGUAGUC